AGGACGAACGCUGGCGGCGUGCUUAACACAUGCAAGUCGAGCGGAAAGGCCCUUCGGGGUACUCGAGCGGCGAACGGGUGAGUAACACGUGAGUAAUCUGCCCCUAGCUCUGGGAUAGCUCCGGGAAAACCGGGAUUAAUACCAGAUACAACCACUUUAGACAUCUCUUGUGGUGGAAAGAAUUUCGGCUAGGGAUGAACUCGCGGCCUAUCAGCUUGUUGGUGAGGUAACGGCUCACCAAGGCGACGACGGGUA
RNAcentral lists this ribosomal RNA (255 nucleotides) under uncultured bacterium. Its description in RNAcentral is "partial small subunit ribosomal RNA". It matches the Rfam family "Bacterial small subunit ribosomal RNA", at positions 26 to 285 of the family's 1533-position model. The record is from RNAcentral.